Long non-coding RNA from Cyprinus carpio (common carp), 312 nucleotides. RefSeq lists it as uncharacterized. The record is from RefSeq and is a predicted model, not a curated record. NCBI's taxonomy places the organism in Eukaryota, Metazoa, Chordata, Actinopteri, Cypriniformes, Cyprinidae. The transcript has 4 exons.
CUCCUGCUGUCCUCCGUGUUUCACUACCCGAGCGCUUCGGGUCGAUCACAGGCCUUAAUUUGUGAAAGGUUGAGUUAAGACUUUAAGACCCGCAGAAACCCUGAAGAUUCCUCAUUAAUUGCUCAAGGAUGAAGAUUGCUUUGCUGGUUUUGGUUCUUCUGGCGUUCGGACACUCGCUGCCUAUGCAGCGGAGGAGAGUAACAAGAUCAGAGAGUUCAGAAGACAACGGGAACGACUGCGAGAAGAAAGCAGAGGAGGAAGAGGAAGAAGGAAAUGGAGAUGAGGAAGAAGGAAAUGAAGAUGAGGAUGAGG